CAGAAAUCAGGCCAACUGAGUAAUUGCUAUAAUGCAUUCCCUUUUCAUAAUAUCUGCACUGAAUCUUUGUUGCUUCGCACUUCAGUUUGCAUUCCAGCAUUCUUUCAUGCCAAGCCUGGUGAUUACUUUGAGUCCCUGAGCUACAGGCAUAAUUAUCUCUCAAGAAGACAUUGGGGACUCUUGAGAGGAAGCCCGAGGAAGAUGGAGAGAAGAAUACUAGAUGAAGGAUUAAGACCAACAGAACCUGAGAAUCUAUCAAGGUGAACCACAGAACCUUCUCAUUUUGUACUUAGAGGUUUUGUCCGAGGUAUUUCCACUAAGAACAAGGACCUGAAGUCAUCUAAAGCUAAAAGAAGAAAUGGAGUCUUAAAAUCUCAAGGAUGCUCUUUCCAGCUUCAUCAUCUGUUAUAUGGUCUUAGGCAAGCCAUUCAACU
This 434-nucleotide long non-coding RNA is filed under the name Homo sapiens (human). Its description in RNAcentral is "HSALNT0101102". Lineage: Eukaryota; Metazoa; Chordata; Mammalia; Primates; Hominidae. The record is from RNAcentral.